GAUAAACGCUGGCGGCGUGCUUAACACAUGCAAGUCGAACGAUGUUUUUCUUUCUGGGUGAACUUAGUGGCGGACGGGUGAGUAACUCGUGGGUAACCUGCCCUGUACAGGGGGACAACAGCUGGAAACGGCUGCUAAUACCGCAUAAGCCCUUAGCACUGCAUGGUGCAUAGGGAGAAGGAGCAGUCCGGUACAGGAUGGAUCCGCGUCUGAUUAGCCAGUUGGCAGGGUAACGGCCUACCAAAGCGACGAUCAGUAGCCGAUCUGAGAGGAUGUACGGCAACAUUGGGACUGAGACACGGCGCAGACUCCUACGGGAGGCAGCAGUGGGGAAUAUUGCAAAAUGGAGGAAACUCUGAUGCAGCGACGCCGCGUGAGUGAAGAAGUAUUUCGGUAUGUAAAGCUCUAUCAGCAGGAAAGAAAAUGACGGUACCUGACAAAGAAGCACCGGCUAAAUACGUG
This 462-nucleotide ribosomal RNA is filed under the name uncultured bacterium. Its description in RNAcentral is "partial 16S ribosomal RNA". It matches the Rfam family "Bacterial small subunit ribosomal RNA", at positions 28 to 507 of the family's 1533-position model. The record is from RNAcentral.